This 430-nucleotide ribosomal RNA is filed under the name Pseudomonadota bacterium. RNAcentral's name for it is "Proteobacteria bacterium partial 16S ribosomal RNA". It matches the Rfam family "Bacterial small subunit ribosomal RNA", at positions 355 to 776 of the family's 1533-position model. Lineage: Bacteria; Pseudomonadati; Pseudomonadota. The record is from RNAcentral.
UGGGGAAUAUUGGACAAUGGGGGGAACCCUGAUCCAGCCAUGCCGCGUGUGUGAAGAAGGCCUUAUGGUUGUAAAGCACUUUAAGCGAGGAGGAGGGUACUGGUAUUAAUACUACCAGGUACUGGACGUUACUCGCAGAAUAAGCACCGGCUAACUCUGUGCCAGCAGCCGCGGUAAUACAGAGGGUGCGAGCGUUAAUCGGAUUUACUGGGCGUAAAGCGUGCGUAGGCGGCUAAUUGAGUCGGAUGUGAAAUCCCCGAGCUUAACUUGGGAAUUGCAUUCGACACUGGUUAGCUAGAGUGUGGGAGAGGAUGGUAGAAUUCCAGGUGUAGCGGUGAAAUGCGUAGAGAUCUGGAGGAAUACCGAUGGCGAAGGCAGCCAUCUGGCCUAACACUGACGCUGAGGUACGAAAGCAUGGGGAGCAAACAGG